CACCCAACAGCUAGCCCAACCCCCUUAAACAGUAACAAACCCUAUCAACUAAACCUGCAUUAUUCUACACAAAACCAAACAAACCAUUUUUCCCCCUUAGUAUGGGAGACAGAAAAGGAAAUACUCGGCGCAUUAGAGAAAGUACCGCAAGGGAAAGCUGAAAGAGAAAUGAAAUAACUCAGUUAAGUUCAAAGAAGCAGAGACUAAACCUCGUACCUUUUGCAUCAUGAUCUAGCCAGCAAUCUUUAAGCAAAGAGCACUAUAGUUUAAAACCCCGAAACUAAGUGAGCUACUCCAGGACAGCCUAUAGUAAGGGCGCACCCUUCUCUGUGGCAAAAGAGUGGGAAGAUCCUUGAGUAGCGGUGACAGACCUAUCGAACUUAGUUAUAGCUGGUUGCUUGAGAAAUGAAUAGAAGUUCAGCCUUCAGGCUUCCUCCCUCAAAACUGGUCUUACCCUGACCCGCGGACAAGAAGUCAUGAGGAGUUAGUCAAAGGGGGUACAGCCCCUUUGAAAAAGGAGACAACCUCCUCAGGAGGUUAAAGAUCACACCUAUAAAGGGCAAUCGUCGCGGUGGGCCUAAAAGCAGCCAUCCCCUCAAAAAGCGUUAAAGCUUAGACAUCUAAACAAUCCCUUCAAUUCUGACAAUUUUAUCUUAACCCCUAAUUAUAUCAAGCCAUCCCAUGCCCCCAUGGGAGCAAUCCUGCUAGUAUGAGUAAUAAGAGGACUGAGUCCCUCUCCCCAGCACAAGUGUACAUCGGAACGAACUCGCACCGAAACUUAACGGCCCCAAUAAUAGAGGGUACUGGAAAAAACAUCUCACAAACCAGAAAAACUUCCAAUAAUUAACCGUUGACCCCACACUGGUGUGCUCAAAGGGAAAGGCUAAAAGAGAAAGAAGGAACUCGGCAAACACCUAAAGCCUCGCCUGUUUACCAAAAACAUCGCCUCUUGCAAAAUUAACGAAUAAGAGGUCACGCCUGCCCAGUGACUUUAGAGUUUAACGGCCGCGGUAUUUUGACCGUGCAAAGGUAGCGUAAUCACUUGUCUUUUAAAUGGAGACCUGUAUGAAUGGCAUCACGAGGGCUUGACUGUCUCCUUUCUUAAGCCAAUGAAAUUGAUCUCCCCGUGCAGAAGCGGGGAUAACAACAUAAGACGAGAAGACCCUAUGGAGCUUUAGACACCAAGACACCCUACGUUAAACAUUCCUCUAAAAGACCUAAACUAAGUAGAUUCUCUCCUAAUGUCUUCGGUUGGGGCGACCCUGGGGAGAUAAAGAACCCCCAUGUGGAGUGGAAAUAUUUUCUAGAACCAAGGGCUACAGCCCUAAGUGACAGAAUCUCUGACCAAAUAGAUCCGGCAAGGCCGAUCAACGGACCGAGUUACCCUAGGGAUAACAGCGCAAUCCCCUUUUAGAGACCAUAUCGACAAGGGGGUUUACGACCUCGAUGUUGGAUCAGGACAUCCUAAUGGUGCAGCCGCUAUUAAGGGUUCGUUUGUUCAACGAUUAAAGUCCUACGUGAUCUGAGUUCAGACCGGAGUAAUCCAGGUCAGUUUCUAUCUAUGACGUGGCCUUUUCUAGUACGAAAGGACCGAGAAGGAGAGGCCAAUAUUCCAGGCACGCCUCACCCCCACCUAACGAAAUCAACUAAAAUAGGUAAAAAGGCAUAAACAUAUGGCCCAAGAACACGGCAG
This 1693-nucleotide ribosomal RNA is filed under the name Stethojulis strigiventer (three-ribbon wrasse). Its description in RNAcentral is "16S ribosomal RNA". The stretch from base 111 to 1580 matches the Rfam family "Bacterial large subunit ribosomal RNA". Lineage: Eukaryota; Metazoa; Chordata; Actinopteri; Labriformes; Labridae. The record is from RNAcentral.